CCUACGGGAGACAGCAGUGAGGAAUAUUGGGCAAUGGAGGCAACUCUGACCCAGCAACGCCGCGUGAAUGAUGAAGGUCUUCGGAUUGUAAAGUUCUGUGAUGGGGGAUGAACACAAUGACGGUACCCCAAUAGCAAGCCACGGCUAACUACGUGCCAGCAGCCGCGGUAAUACGUAGGUGGCAAGCGUUAUCCGGAAUGACUGGGCGUAAAGGGUGCGGAGGUGGUUUAGUAAGUUGGCGGUGUAAUUCCGGGGCUCAACCUCGGCGCUACCGCCAAAACUAUUAGACUAGAGUGCAGGGGGGGUAAGUGGAAUUCCUAGGGUAGCGGUGGAAUGCGUAGAUAUUAGGAGGAACAUCAGGGGCGAAGGCGACUUACUGGACUGUAACUGACACUGAGGCACGAAAGCGUGGGGAGCAAACAGGAUUAGAUACCCUAGUAGUC
This 443-nucleotide ribosomal RNA is filed under the name uncultured bacterium. RNAcentral describes it as "partial 16S ribosomal RNA". It matches the Rfam family "Bacterial small subunit ribosomal RNA", at positions 338 to 795 of the family's 1533-position model. The record is from RNAcentral.